Myotis lucifugus (little brown bat) is the source of this 73-nucleotide non-coding RNA. The record is from Rfam. NCBI's taxonomy places the organism in Eukaryota, Metazoa, Chordata, Mammalia, Chiroptera, Vespertilionidae.
GCCCGUGUGGCGCAGGGGAUACAGUGUCAGCCUGCGGGCUGAAGGGUCCCGGGUUCGAUUCCCGGAAAGGGCA